This 821-nucleotide long non-coding RNA is filed under the name Homo sapiens (human). RNAcentral's name for it is "HSALNT0031755". The record is from RNAcentral. Lineage: Eukaryota; Metazoa; Chordata; Mammalia; Primates; Hominidae.
AUCCCACCGAGGCCACCAUAGACCAGCCAGCCCUCAGCGUACAUGCCAGCUAAUUACAGAUGCAGGAGCAAACCCCUGGCCCAUACAUCAAUUUUAAUGUCAUUGAAUACAGAGAACAAAUCUCAUUCACUUUGGUAUCGGCUGGAGUCAACAAACAUUUAAAAAUCAUUUACUGCGUCUGAUUUUGGGUAUGUUGAAUUGGUGACGUCUGAGUUGCUUCUGGUCUAUCCUGAUAGAAACAUACAGUAAACAGAGAAAAAAAAGGAUCUCAGGUGAGAUGAUGUAUGGGAAUGCUCAGCAUACAGAAUGAAUGGAUAAGAGGCCUGAAAACAUAAUCCUGUAAACAACCAUAUUGAAAGAGAAGACAGAAGACAUCAAACAGGAUUUUGGAAGCAUUGCCUUCUACAGAAUCCACAGUAGUCCGAAGCUCUUCUACGGUUUUUGUCAAACUUUGAUUUUCCAUCUCUAGCUUCAAUAAUCUACUUGAUGUCAACUCAUUCACCUCAUGGCCCAGGGAUUUCUGGGGUGCUAUAAUAUUGAAAAAUACACCAUUGUAUUUACUCUUUACUGUUUUUACUAUGUUUACUCUUUACUAUUUAAAAAGUUGAGUGUAUAUGCAUUGCAUCAUCUGAUCCUUAACUUUAUUAAAAAUUCAAUGAGGUUAUAUAAGAUAAACAAGAUAAAAGAAGUAAAUCUUUUUUUUCCUUUUCUUUUUUUCUUUUUUUUAAAGAGACGGGGUCUCUCUCUGUCACCCAGGCUGGAGUGCAGUGAUGUGCUCCUAGCUCACUGCAGCCUCAAACGCCUGGUCUGAAGGGAUCCUC